Molecule: transfer RNA, 76 nt
Filed under: Alphaproteobacteria bacterium
Lineage: Bacteria; Pseudomonadati; Pseudomonadota; Alphaproteobacteria
Also listed under: 2 other names
Description: tRNA-Glu
Rfam family: tRNA
About the family: Transfer RNA (tRNA) molecules are approximately 80 nucleotides in length. Their secondary structure includes four short double-helical elements and three loops (D, anti-codon, and T loops). Further hydrogen bonds mediate the characteristic L-shaped molecular structure. tRNAs have two regions of fundamental functional importance: the anti-codon, which is responsible for specific mRNA codon recognition, and the 3' end, to which the tRNAs corresponding amino acid is attached (by aminoacyl-tRNA synthetases). tRNAs cope with the degeneracy of the genetic code in two manners: having more than one tRNA (with a specific anti-codon) for a particular amino acid; and 'wobble' base-pairing, i.e. permitting non-standard base-pairing at the 3rd anti-codon position.
Source: RNAcentral
GACCCCAUCGUCUAGAGGCCUAGGACACCGGCCUUUCACGCCGGCAACGGGGGUUCGAAUCCCCCUGGGGUCGCCA